This is an RNA transcript of Alnus glutinosa, 9020 nucleotides long. It is a transcript of the gene named serine/threonine-protein kinase ATR, with no coding region annotated. The record is from RefSeq and is a predicted model, not a curated record. The transcript has 17 exons. NCBI's taxonomy places the organism in Eukaryota, Viridiplantae, Streptophyta, Magnoliopsida, Fagales, Betulaceae.
CGCACGUUCGAAAGAAAUUGGGAGGGAAGAGAGAGAGAGAGAGAGAGAGAGGGGCAUGAGUGGGCAUGGCGAACCUGUCGAGCCUGGUGCACGAGCUACGAGAGCGCAUAGCUGCGACCUCGUCGACUCCUCUACACAUCGGAGACGACGUCGCUUUGGAGACCAGAUUCCGCGCCGUCCUCCCCAAUCUCCUCCACGCCUACGUUGUCCCCUCGCCCUCCGCGAAUGAGAGAGAAGUUAUAGCUGUAUUGAAGCUAAUCUCCCACACUGCAAGGAAUUUUCCUGGAGUCUUUUACCAUGGGAAGGCUAGCGCAGUUUUACCUGUGGUUGGUCGAGUACUGCCUUUCUUUGCGGAACCUGCAUUUCGCUUUCGACAUGGAGUAAUUUUCGAGACGAUUGGAUCCCUUUUAUCCUUGCUUCGUAGUGGAGCACGGGAUGCUUACCGACAAUUUUUCGUUGAUUCCAUGUUAGUUGUUGAAGAUCUUUUGUAUGUGGCUUCGCUCUCUGCUGACAGUUUGAACAUCACAGAAUCGACUUGUUUGAAUUUGAAGUGUUUCUGUGAGUCCUUUAUGGGAAUUUUUAGUGAUCCUGAUCAUCUCGGAGAUCUUCCGGAAAGUAAUAAACCAACUGAUGGCAUUGGAAUUAUGAUUAACCUUACGGGAAAAAGGAGGUGGCGACCUUUUGUGACCUGGAUCAUUAAGCUCCUCAGUAGAUGCUUAACUGAAGGAACUUUGUAUGUUGAAGGACUAAUCCAUGCGUCAUUUGUUUCUGCUGCAUGUUCUCUUGUAUGUUAUGGUGAUGCGGAUUUGCAAAUGGCAUGUUUUGACUUUGCGCGCAUCAUUGGAUCGGUGAUAAAUUAUGAUAUUCUUUCUCAUCAAAACUUAAUCCAGUCAGUAUCCACCAUAUUAAAUGAGGACAAAGAGGGGCUUCCUGUAUUCAGAAAUGUGGCUUAUGAUUCGUCCUUGGGUGGUUGCCUUCAUGCACUACACUCUAGGUGCGCUGAUGACAUUGUCAAGCUAACAGCUGCAGAUUUAGUCAAUGUUUUUCUUCAGUCAAUGUGGAGAACCAAAAGCCAGGAUCUUAAGGUUGCAUUGUGUAAUGCGUACAUAAGGAUUGCUAAAAUUUGCCCCCCUCAUGUCUGGAGGCCAGAAUCUCUUAUUCGCACACUUUGUUUUCCAGAACCGUGCUUUCUACUGAUAGAUUGUUUUCGAGUAGCUUUGUCAAUUCUUGGUCCUGAUAGUGUUGGAGGGAGAGCAACAAAUUGUAGUGCUCUAGAUUUUUUAACUUCCAGUGAUAAAUCAAUUGAAAACUUGAGGGUUGGAGAAAAGAGGCCUAUUCCAGAUGUGGAAACUUUUAAGGUCAAACGUCAGAAGUUAGAUGAUGAAAUUAUGGCAUCCGAUGCUAAUGUUCAGGUGCAGAGCAAGCACACUUGCAUAGUUACUUGUGAAAGGGAAGACAAAUAUGCAAAUGAUAUGCAUAAAUCACUUAUUUCGUUUGUUAAGUAUCUAAACUCUCCUGAUGUCGGAACUGAUACUUUAAGUCCACAUGUUGCGUUGACGGCUCUUAGCAUGCUUUGCAUUGGCUUCUCUAGAUUCCCGGAUGCCAAUCUAUCAAUCUUUAUUUUUCAACAGAUGUAUGCAUGGAUUCCCAGGAUAUGCGAGCUGGCAAAGCAAGAGAAUUCAAUGACGCUUGAUGUUUCCAUUUACCUGGAGGGAAUUCACAGCAUAUUGCUUUUGCAAAGUAUCCCGCUUAUGGAGAACAAGCUUUUCAAAAAUACAGAAAAUAGUGCAGAACUUUUAUCUAUGGUACUAAAGCUUCCCUGGUCUCAUUCUCUUGUGAUUACUGAACCUCAAAAUACAUGGAAAACAAAAUGUAUCUCACUUCAAGUUGCAUCCAAGCUUGGUUCUAGCUUAAAAACUGAAAUUGGUCUUGAAGUCUUGGAUUUGAGUCUUUGUGACGAAGUUGAGGAAGUUAGACUUGAAGCUGUUGUUUCUAUGCCAGUGAUUGUGUUCUGGUCUGGUCUUGGUGUACUGACACAUAUAUUCAGAAGGGUGGAGUCCUUGGGGAGAGAGAAGCAUGUGAGUGUUAAGAAAAUUAUUCCCCUUUCUCUUGGAUUUUUGUCAUGCCUUUAUGGAUCUUGUACUGUAGAUGGUCUAGAUAAAAGUGUGUGCAAAUUAUUUUUGAAUAUAAACAAUGAGAAACAUAGUCAGACUGUAGAUUAUUUACUGCAAGGAUUCUGGUGUUCAAAGUGUGACAGAAGUGUUGUGCACAAUGCUGAAUUAUAUUCAAGAAUUAUAUAUCCACCUGAUAUGCAAAGGAUGGAGAUUAGUUUGGAUGGUGAUUUCAUCCAUCUGCAGUCACUUUUUUUUGAACUUCUUUAUGAUGAGUCAUCAGAAGAGGUUCAAGUUGCCUGUGUGGAAAUUAUUCGACGGAUCCUUGUACAUGGGACUGCAGAUGUUCUGCUUAAAACAAGAUCUGAAUGGACUAAAUGCAUUGAUUUUCUGCUCCUUAACAGAAGGAAGGCUGUAAGGGAAGCAUUUUGCACUCAGAUUAGUUCCUUUCUUGAGGAUCCUAUUUUGAGUUGUCUAUUUUCUGAUGAGGGCAGAUCGAAUAAAAGUAAAGAACAAAAUUUCCUGGAUAUAAUUAAACAUGCCUUAGCAGCAGCUGAAGAUCCCCAAAUCUUUGAAACUCUUUUGGAAUCUACAGCAGAAAUUAUGAUUGCAGUUGAUAUUUACAGCCAACUCUUUUUGUUUUCUCUUAUCUUGUUGGUCGAUCAGCUAGACAAUCAACAUGUGACGGUGAGAAUGAAUGCAUCGAGGUUAAUACACAAAUCUUGCUACUUUCAUCUUAAAGGAGGAUUUGAACUUAUCCUACUAAAAGUUGUUCAUAUUCGAAAUGAACUAUUUGAUUAUCUAUCUGUGAGGCUCGCCAGCCGUCCAAAAAUGGUCAGAGAAUUUGCAGAAGCUGUUUUUGGUGUUGAAAUUGAAGAACUUGUGAAGAAAAUGAUUCCUGUUGUUCUUCCGAAGCUUGUAGUGUCUCAGCAGGAUAAUGAUCAUGCAGUUGACACCUUAUAUGAGUUGGCCAAGUGUUUGAAUACUGAUAUGGUGCCUCUGAUAGUUAAUUGGCUACCAAAAGUGCUUGCCUUCGCUCUCCAUCAAGCAGAUGGGCAAGAGUUACUCUCAGCUUUGCAAUUUUACCGUACACAUACUGGCUCAGACAAGCAAGAAAUUUUUGCAGCUGCAUUACCUGCCCUUUUGGAUGAACUUGUUUGCUUUCUGGAUGGUGGUGAUUCAGAUGAGAUAAGCAAAAGGUUAGCAAGAGUACCUCAGAUGAUAAAAGAAGUUGCUAGAGUUCUAACUGGUGGUGAAGAUCUUCCAGGAUUUUUGAGGAACCAUUUUGUUGGCCUCCUUAACAGUAUCGAUAGAAAAAUGCUCCAUGCUGAUGAUUUAUCGCUGAAGGAACAAGCAUUAAAACGUAUUGAGAUGCUGAUUAAAAUGAUGGGUUCUCACCUUAGUACUUAUGUACCAAAACUAAUGGUUCUUCUCAUGCAUGCUAUCGAUAAAGAAUCGCUCCUGAGUGAGGGUCUCUCGGUCUUGCAUUUCUUCAUUGAGCAGCUAGCAAAAGUAUCGCCAUCUAGCACAAAACAUUUAAUUUCUCAAGUUUUUGCUGCUCUUAUUCCUUUCUUGGAGAGAGAGAAAGAAAAACCUUCAGUGAAUUUGGAUAAAGUGGUGAAAAUUUUGGAAGAACUUGUUUUAAAGAACAAGGUUAUCCUAAAAGAGCAUAUUGGCGAGUUCCCUCCAUUACCCAGUAUUCCAGCUCUAACAGAAGUUAACAAAGCCAUACAAGAAGCACGGGGGUCAAUGACCUUGAAGGAUCAACUGCGAGAUGUUGUUGAUGGUUUGAAUCAUGAGAAUUUGAAUGUGAGGUAUAUGGUAGUGUGCGAGUUCAGCAAGUUGCUAAACCUAAGAAGAGAGGAGGUUACAGCUCUGAUCACUGCCGAAGCUGGUUCAGACAUAGAUGUUUUGAGCUCUUUGAUCACAUCCUUAUUAAGGGGCUGUGCAGAAGAAUCAAGGACUGCAGUAGGACAGCGGCUGAAGUUGGUCUGUGCUGAUUGCCUUGGAGCACUGGGUGCAGUUGACCCUGCCAAAGUUAAGGGUUUUUCAUGCCAACGCUUUAAGAUUGAAUGUUCGGAUGACGACCUUAUCUUUGAAUUGAUCCACAAGCAUCUGGCCAGGGCUUUUAGAGCUGCACCAGACACCAUUAUUCAAGACUCGGCUGCAUUGGCGAUACAAGAGCUGCUAAAAAUUGCAGGUUGUGAGGCAUCACUGGAUGUGAAUGCUUCUGCUUCUAUUUCACAGACACUGAAGGAAAAGGAAUCUCUAAAGGUCGUUGCAUCUAGGAUUAAGAGCAAAGAUGGUAGUGGUGAGAUGAAUGGGAGGGGUCAAAAACUGUGGGACCGGUUCUCUAACUAUGUUAAAGAGAUAAUUGCCCCUUGCUUAACCUCUAGAUUUCAGCUUCCAAAUGUGGCUGAUUCUGCAUUCACAGGCCCAAUUUACCGGCCAUCUAUGUCAUUCAGGAGAUGGAUUUUCUUUUGGAUAAAGAAACUCACUGUGCAUGCAACUGGAUCUCGUGCUACUAUUUUUAAUGCUUGUCGAGGUAUAGUUCGUCAUGAUAUGCAAACAGCUAUAUAUCUGCUUCCUUAUUUAGUCCUAGAUGCUGUCUGUCAUGGUACUGAGGAGGCACGCUGUGGCAUAACAGAAGAAAUACUAUCUGUUCUUGAUGCUGCUGCAUCAGAAAACAGUGGGGCAACAGUUCAUGAAGUCAGUGGUGGGCAAACUGAAGUUUGCAUUCAGGCUGUGUUCACUCUUCUUGAUAAUCUUGGGCAAUGGGUGGAUGACGUUGAACAAGAACUAGCUCUUUCCCACUCUUUCCAAUCAUCAGCUUCUAAGCAACAAGCACCCAAGUCAAAGGAUCGACGCUCAACUUCUUUGACAGAUCAAGACCAACUCCUUGUACGGUGUAAAUAUGUUUCAGAGCUUCUGACUGCAAUUCCAAAGGUGACACUUGCCAGGGCCUCUUUUAGGUGUCAGGCUUAUGCAAGGUCUUUAAUGUACUUUGAGUCUCAUGUGCGGGAAAAGUCGGGUUCUUUCAACCCUGCUGCUGAGAGGAGUGGAGUUUUUGAGGAUGAAGAUAUUUCCUAUCUAAUGGAAAUAUACAGCUGUCUGGAUGAGCCUGAUGGUCUUUCCGGAUUGGCAUGUUUACGCAAGUCUUUAAGGUUACAAGACCAGCUCUUAAUAAACAAAAAAACAGGAAACUGGGCUGAAGUUUUGACUUCUUGUGAACAAGCUCUGCAAAUGGAGCCCACUUCAGUUCAGAGACAUUCUGAUGUACUUAACUGUUUAUUAAACAUGUGCCACCUUCAGGCCAUGGUAACUCAUGUGGAUGGUUUAAUUUCUAGGAUUCCCAAAUACAAGAAAACAUGGUGCAUGCAAGGUGUGCAAGCUGCAUGGAGGCUUGGCAGGUGGGAUUUGAUGGAUGAGUAUCUUAGUAAAGCUGAUGAAGAAGGUUUGCUUUGUAGCAGCUCUGAGAGUAAUGCUUCCUUUGACAUGGAUGUUGCAAAGAUUCUCCAGGCAAUGAUGAAGAAGGAUCAGUUCUCAGUUGCUGAGAAAAUUGCAUUGUCCAAGCAAGCUCUGAUUGCUCCUCUGGCUGCUGCUGGGAUGGAUUCCUAUACACGGGCUUACCCAUUCAUUGUGAAACUUCACUUGCUAAGAGAGCUGGAAGACUUCCAGAGUCUUCUUGUUGAUGACUCUUUCUUGGAGAAAUUAUUUCGUUUGGGUGAUCUGGGAUUCUCAAAAGUGAUGGAGAACUGGGAGAAUCGUCUCAGAUUUACGCAGCCGUCACUUUGGGCAAGGGAUCCACUUCUAGCUUUCCGAAGAUUGGUUUUUGGUGCCAGUGGUCUUGGUGCUCAAGUUGGGAACUGCUGGCUUCAAUAUGCAAAGCUCUGUCGCUUAGCUGGUCACUAUGAAACAGCAAACCGAGCAAUUCUUGAAGCUCAGGCUUCAGGUGCACCUAACGUCCACAAGGAGAAGGCUAAGCUUCUGUGGAGUACUAGGCGAUCUGAUGGUGCCAUUGCGGAGCUUCAACAAGCUCUCCUGAACAUGCCUGUCGAGGUUGUCGGCUCCGCUGCAAUAUCAUCGAUCACUAGCCUUUCACUGGUUCCACUGAACCCACCGCCUUUGGUUUGUGAUACUCAGGCGCUGAAUGAGAAUCGAGAUAUUGCGAAGACCCUUCUCCUCUAUUCUAGGUGGAUCCAUUACACUGGGCAGAAGCAGAAAGAGGAUGUGAUAAGUCUUUAUUCCAGGGUGAGGGAAUUACAGCCUAAGUGGGAGAAAGGAUACUUCUAUAUGGCCAAGUAUUGUGACGAGCUGCUUGCUGAUGCCAGGAAACGUCAGGAAGAGAAUUUUGAUUUAGGUCCCAGGAUAGUGCCACCUACUUCUGCUGUUGUUGGUUCUUCCAAUGUAAACACGGAGAAGCACUGGUGGUCUUAUGUGCCUGAUGUACUGUUAUUUUAUGCAAAGGGGCUACAUAGGGGCCACAAAAAUCUCUUUCAAGCACUUCCAAGGUUGUUAACCCUGUGGUUUGACUUUGGGAGCAUUUAUCAAAGAAGUGGUUCGUCUUCCAAUAAAGAUUUGAAAAGUGUCCACGGGAAGGUAAUGAGUAUUAUGCGCGGCUGUCUCAAGGAUUUGCCAGCAUAUCAGUGGUUAACAGUAUUGCCUCAGUUAGUUUCCAGAAUUUGCCACCAAAAUGAAGAAAUUGUUCGAUUGGUCAAACACGUAAUCACUUCAGUGCUUCGGCAAUACCCACAGCAAGCCCUAUGGAUUAUGGCGGCUGUUUCAAAAUCAACUGUUCCAUCAAGGCGGGAGGCAGCUGCUGAAAUCAUACAAGCUGCACGAAAAGGGUUCAGCCAAGGAAAUAGUGGCAACAAUUUGUUUGUUCAGUUUGCUAGCCUGAUUGAUCAUCUAAUCAAGUUGUGCUUCCAUGGUGGUCAGCCAAAAUCGAAGACAAUUAAUAUCUCAACUGAAUUUAGUGCCUUGAAGAGGAUGAUGCCACUGGGAAUUAUUAUGCCAAUUCAACAAUCUCUUACUGUUACUCUACCGACAUAUGAUGUGAAUCUCUCAGACUCGCUUACCUCUAAUAUCUUUUCUGCCACAGAUCUUCCUACAAUAUCAGGAAUAGCUGAUGAAGCUGAGAUUCUCUCAUCUCUUCAGCGACCUAAGAAAAUUGUUCUGUUGGGCAGUGAUGGCAUUGAACGUCCUUUCCUCUGUAAACCCAAGGAUGACCUCAGGAAAGAUGCACGUAUGAUGGAGUUCACCGCAAUGAUAAAUCGUUUGUUAUCGAAAUACCCUGAAAGCCGUCGAAGGAAGCUCUACAUUCGCACCUUUGCAGUGAUUCCUCUAACAGAGGACUGUGGUAUGGUAGAGUGGGUGCCCCACACUCGUGGAUUGCGGCAUAUACUUCAAGACAUUUACGUAACUUGUGGAAAAUUUGAUAGGCAGAAAACGAAUCCUCAAAUUAAACGGAUUUAUGAUCAAUGCCAAGGUAAAAUACAGGAUGAUGAGUUGCUGAAGAACAAGAUUCUUCCAAUGUUCCCACCAGUUUUUCAUAAAUGGUUUUUGACCACUUUCUCUGAGCCGGCUGCUUGGUUUAGGGCUCGGGUUGCUUAUGCACAUACUACUGCAGUGUGGUCCAUGGUUGGGCAUAUUGUGGGGCUGGGUGACCGACAUGGUGAAAACAUUCUUUUUGAUUCUACCACAGGUGAUUGUGUUCAUGUUGAUUUCAGUUGCUUAUUUGACAAAGGCUUGCAGUUAGAGAAGCCUGAGCUGGUGCCUUUCAGGCUAACCCAGAACAUGAUUGAUGGUUUGGGCAUCACUGGGUAUGAAGGAAUUUUCUUGAGGGUCUGUGAGAUCACGCUAUCAGUACUGAGAACACACAGGGAGACUUUGAAGAGUGUUCUUGAAACUUUCAUUCAUGAUCCGCUUGUAGAAUGGACAAAGUCUCACAAGUCCAGUGGCAUAGAGGUUCAGAAUCCACAUGCCCAGCGAGCCAUCAGCAAUAUUGAGGCAAGGUUGCAAGGGGUUGUUGUUGGUGUUGGGGCAGCACCAUCUUUGCCUCUAGCUGUAGAAGGUCAGGCUCGUCGAUUAAUUGCAGAAGCAGUAUCUCACAAAAAUCUUGGCAAGAUGUAUAUAUGGUGGAUGCCAUGGUUUUAGGAGUUAAAUGAAUAGAGAGAUUUUUCCUCUAUUGAGUCCAGUCUUUUGCAACAUUCAAGUGCUGUGUUUGCUUUCUUCCUCAGAUCUCUCGAAGACAUAUAAGGUUAGGGGGUUAACAUGAUAUACAGGUGAAACUAAAUAGCAACUCAAUUUUGUGUUGAAAGAAGCCUUUUAAUUCACAGACAACGUGUCUUUGGCAGAUUUCUACAAGAUGGCGUUUUACUAUGGGGGAAUAUCCUUAUCAUGGAUCAUGCUAUAAGUUGUUGAGGGUUUGAACAAGCUGAAGGUGACAGUAUUCAAAGAGUGGACCACCUACAUGGGACUGUGGAUAGGUUUUUGGUUAAGGAGAUAGUCAAAGGGAGAAGUGGUGUACACUGUAUGCUGCCCUUUGCAGCCGUAACUGAACAUGUGCAGUAUGUUCAGUUACAAUAGCAUUGCCACCUAGAUACUUUCAAAGGACCCUCUGUACAUGAGAUUUUCCUUUUGUAUAUUCAUUUGGGUAGGCAUAGGUCUUUUGUGUGUUAUAUUAUGUAAAAUGGUAUUUUGUAAUUAAAUUUUUUUUAUUCCGUUGUAUAUACAUAAUAUUUCUGUGCCUGUAGUACUGUCAGCUACGUUGAUGUCACUUUCUUGGAUGAAGCUGGAGACAUUUGCUAUCUUCAUGUUGUAAGUUGCAAAUGGUAGUAUUUCUGCCUUCGUGUACCAUGGUAACAUAACAUUUCUGUUCCAAUAAUACUGUCGGCUACUUUGAUGCCA